CUGCAUCCACAGGUUACCACGACAAGUUUGCGACUGAGUAAAUACAGAUACUACAGUUCGUGAUCUGGAGCUUGACUUCACAUGUUUUGUGGUGAUUAAAGGCGGAGUCCAUGAUGUUUGAAAGCCAAUGUUGAUAUUUGAAAUCACCUAAACAAACACGCCCCUACCCCAAUAGAAUCUGGACCUUCUGUUGAUAGACCCGCCACACACAUAUGCAACCCGGCAAGGAUGUCGGUUAGUAGACACGCUCCUUACUGCUGAUUGGCUAUAAGUGUGUUUUGGUAGUCGGCCCGUCUCCUUUUCCAAAGCGUUUUUCAAACAUCGUGGACUCCGCCUUUAACAAAUUGUGCGGUGCUUUUGGCAUUGUCUAUCCAUGUAUAAUUGUGAUGUUCCAGGAGUGCUAAUGGAAGCUACACAGUAUGUAGAUGUUUGUUCCAGUAUGUUUAUGUGUGUGUACCUGGUAAUUAUCACGUUGUGGGGACCGAAUGUCCCCACAAAGAUAGGAAUACCAGUAAAUUUUGACCUCGUGGGGACAUUUGUGAGGUCCCCAUGAGGAACCAAGCUUAUAAAUCAAACGGAAUGAUGUUUCUUGAAAAUCUAAGGUCGCAGAAAGUUUUCUGUGAUGGUUGGGGUAAGGGUUUGGGGAAGGGAAUAGAAUAUACAGUUUGUACAGUAUAAAAUGCAUUACGUUUAUGGAAUGUCCCCACAAAACAUGGAAACCAGAAUGUGUGUGUGUGUGUGCGUGCCAUGGAACAAAUAUUUAUUUUAUACCUUUUUGUGUGUUCUGUUUUUGACUUUUUUCCCCUGAUAUCAAGACACCAAAAUAAUGUUUUAAUACGCAUUUUCAUGUGUUUGUAAAGAAAAUAAAUGGUGUACUUCACUGUUA
Non-coding RNA from Misgurnus anguillicaudatus (oriental weatherfish), 886 nucleotides. Lineage: Eukaryota; Metazoa; Chordata; Actinopteri; Cypriniformes; Cobitidae. The record is from RefSeq and is a predicted model, not a curated record.